UCCGAGAUUUAUUUUUAGCAGUUGACUUCAAACUCUUAUCAGGAUGAGGCCAAUCACCGUCACCAUCGGAUGUCAUCUGUAUACAAGUUUACAUCAAAAGAUAUAAAAAUCAAGUCAUUAGUUCAUAUUUCAUGCGACUACACUUACUAUUUUCAAGUUACUAGUACACAUUUCAAGAUACUACACUCAAACCAUUUUCAAAUAUCUAAUUGACUUUUUAUUUCACUAUACUCAACCAUUUUCAAAUAACUAGUAGACAUUUCAAGUAACUACACUUAACCAUUACACGUUUAAGUCACUAUACUUAACCAUUUCCAAAUAACUAAUUCAUAUUGCAAGUCACCACACUUAAAAUAUUUUCAAGUCACUAGUACACAUUUCAAAUCACUACACUUAACUAUUUUCAAUUAACUAAAUCUAUUACACAUUUCAAAUCACUACACUUAACUAUUUUCAAUUAACUAAAUCACAUUUCAAGUCAAUAUACUUAAUCAUUUUCGAGUGACUAUACUUUAUUAUUUUACAGUUAUUAGUACACAUUUCAAGUAACUACACUUAACCAUUUUCAAGCAUCAAGUUCACAAUUUCAAGUAACUAAACCGUUUUCAAGUCACAAGUUCACAAUUUCAAGUAACUACACUUAAUCAUUUUCAAGUCACUACAAUUAAUAAUUUUCAAAUAACUUAUUCUCUAGUACACAUUUCAAGUCACUACACUCUAACCAUUUUCAAAUAGCUAAUUAACAUUUCAAGUCUAUAAUUGAGCAUUUUCAAGUAACUACACAACCAUUUUCAAGUCACUAGUACAUAUUUCAAGUCACUACACUUAACCAUUUUCAAAUAACUAGUAGACAUUUCAAGUCACUACAUUUAACCAUUUUCAAAUAACUAAUUCACAUUUCAAGUCACUACACUUAACCAUUUUCAAGUAACUACUUGACAUUUAAAAUAACUAUACUUAACCAUUUUCAAGUCACUACACUUAAUCAUUCAUUUCAAGUCACUAUUCUUAACCUCUUUCAAGUAACUAAUUCACAUUUCAAGUAACUACACUUAACCACUUUCAAGUAACUGGUAACCGUUUUCAAGUCACAAGUUUGCAAUUUCAAGUAACUACACUAAACCAUUUCUUCCAAGUCACUACACUUAAUCAUUCAUUUCAAGUCACUACACUCUAACCAUUUUCAAAUAGCUAAUUGACAUUUCAAGUCACGAUACUUAACCAUUUUCAAGUAACGACACUUAACCAUUUUCAAGUCGUGUACUAGCAUUUCAAGUCACGACACUUAACUAUUUUCAAUUAACUAAUUCACAUUUUUAAGUCACCAUACUUAACCAUUUUCAAAUAAUUACACGUAACCAUUUUCAAGUCACUAGUACACAUUUCAAGUGACUAAGCCUAAACCAUUUUCAAGUCAUGAAUUCACAUUUCAAGUAUCAACACUAAACCAAUUUCAAAUCAUGAAUUCACAUUUUCAAGUGAUUACACUUUACUAAUUUCAAAACAUAAUUUCAAAACAUAAGUUCACUUUUCAAGAACUACACUAAACGAUUUUCAAGCUCUUUCCAUGUAUUUGAAUUGUUAUUUGACUGCAUAAAAGAAGUAAGUAGUGCUUUUUGUUGCCUACCUUUUGGUAUUGCUAAUGUGCAUACAUAUGCAUUGUCCAUUGUAAUAACUGAAAGUGUAACAUUAUUAUUUUUUGUUCAAUUUUAAUAAGUAUUAGUUAUAUAAUAUUUAAAUAAGUUACUCACUAGAAUAUCACCGAAGAAAAUGAAUAGUAUAGUUUUCUUAUCAUAAAGUUUUGUUUUCUUCACCUCCUAAUCGCCUACAUUAUUUAGUAGUAAACUGAAUAGGUUUCUUCAUAACCACCAUAAGACUCUUCACAUUAUUCAGAUGUUAACUAUAUAGCUGAUAGCACAUUAUUCAGCAGUUCACAGCACAGGUUUAUUCAAACUCACCACAGCUCAUUAAUAGUUCACUAUACUGGUCUCCACAUUUCCACCUCUAAUAACAUGAUCGACUCGAAGAACUGGUGUUUAUUUUAAAAAUUGCAUAAACAUUAAAUGAACACCACGUGAAGGGAAACCAAGAAUGUUCUCAAACCAACAACAACAAAUACAGUGUUUUUCCAUAUAGUGGGGUCUGGAGAGGAUAAAAUGUACGCAAUCCAUACCACUACCUCCAGAGAAGUAGAGAAGUUAUUUCCGAUAGACCCCCGGCUUAAGACAUAUAUAUAUACUUGAUGAUUCUUUAAAUCACAAAAUAUAUACUAACAGUUAUUACUGAAUUUUCAAUUCACAAAAUAAACCUACACACACUAUUUCACCAAAUCACCAAUUCCAAAGUGAAUAGGUCCAUGAGAAGGCUUAGUAUUCAUCCCCUUUCUUAAAAAACCCAAGAUACUUCAUUUUCUACCUAACAAGUCCAACUGAUAAACAAAUUUCUUCACAUCUAACAACUCUUUGUCCAUUCAACAAUUCCUCAGCUAAAAUUGAUGAAAGUCUACUAAGCAUCUGAUGGCGAGCAUCAACUAUAAUUCUCCUUGCCGAGAUUCCUCAACCUAACACCAUUUUUGUCUACACACUAUUCCUAUGGUCCUUUUUUUCCACUUUGUCACAACAAAAAAUGAUACAUAUACAAAGAAUUCAUCCUGAAUCUACAAAUCACAAAACAAAUCUAUCGAAACACUUUAAAACUAAAAUCACAAAUAUGAAGCUCAAAAAGGCAAAAAAAAUCACAAAAUAAAAAUACAUCGAGACACUACUGCAACAAAAAAUAGCCAAUAAAACUGAAAAAAUGAAAAAAAAAUCAUUAAAAAACUAUCAAAACUAUUUUUUACAACCGAAAUUACGAAUAAAAACUCAAACCACAGGUAGAAAAUUCCAAUUGAAGAAAACAACUACUUAAUGCAUGAAUGUGUGAAUGUGUGACUUGUCUCAUCCAAAAUGAUGUGAUCUCACUUCACUGAAUGCAGAACUAAGUUGCGGGAGAGCGGCUAGAGCAACAAUUGGUGGCGGGAGAGGAGAUCACCAGUGACGGAGAGAGCGGCGACGGCGACUGUUUGAGAAGGAGAGACAGUGACAGCGCUAUUUCGUCGAUGGCAGUGCUGGGCAGCUGUUGUUGGAGAUGAACGGAGGGAGGCGAAGCGGCGACGGAGGUCGAUAAUGAUUUUAUUUUAGAGAAAAGGUAGAGAAUAGAGGGUUUGUAGAGAGAGAGUGGGAGAGAGGAGGCUCACCGGCGCUGGGAUGGCCGACAGCAGCCAUGGAUGCUGAUGGAGAGGGGAUGAGAGUGUAGAGAGAGAAGGUAGAGAGAGAGGGUUGAUGUGCGGCUAUUUUUUGUGAAAAAAUGAAAACUAGGGUUUGGUGUUUUGAUUUAAAGAGGAAAGAAUGAGUUGAACAAUCUCAGCCGUUGGAUUAGUUUUGAUCAAUGGUUGAGAUCAAAAUUAUUUAAAAAGAAGGCCACCCAUUGAAUUUUAAUUUGAGGGUUAAAAAUUGGAUCAAUUUUGACUAUAAUUGCAAUAAAUUAAAUAGAACUUGGGCUAAAAUCAUUAUAUUGUGGUAAAAAUUAGGUCAA
RNAcentral lists this long non-coding RNA (3573 nucleotides) under Capsicum annuum. RNAcentral describes it as "long non-coding RNA (CANN_LNC018402)". Lineage: Eukaryota; Viridiplantae; Streptophyta; Magnoliopsida; Solanales; Solanaceae. The record is from RNAcentral.